Esox lucius (northern pike) is the source of this 1404-nucleotide long non-coding RNA. NCBI's taxonomy places the organism in Eukaryota, Metazoa, Chordata, Actinopteri, Esociformes, Esocidae. The record is from Ensembl.
CUCCGUUGAUGAGGUCCCAAUGGGAGGUGGCUGUGCAGGGGCGGGGCAGACUCUACUGGCUGCUCCUGGAAGAUUCUGGAAACUGCCAACUUUGGGGGCGGUUGUGUAACACUUAUAUGGCAGGAGUGAGUUCUCCCCACAACAGACAUUGCUUAUACUAUGAAGAGCUAUUUAUUCUGAUAUCCACCAGAAUGACUGAUUAAAUAAACAGACAAACCAGUAAAGGCCUUUAUUUGCAUGACAUGAUGGUGGACUGUAGGUCUUCCAUAAAGUGUUUGCCUUCUGUACAUUUGGUAAUUGCGGCUCACAGCUCGCACACCAGAGAUUGGGGUACACACUAGGCUACUCCAAGAUGAAUUUGGUUCUAGAUCAGAUUAUCUUUAGACUCAGAUUGUUGCCCUGGUUUACAAUUCAAUUACUUUGGAUGAAACAAUGGACCUGAUGAAUUGCCUUGGUCAGAAAAGCUGCCAAUGUCAUCACAUUGGCCCUCAUUUAUCAUUCUUGCGUAGAAACGGGCGUAUAUGUUGGCACAAGAUUUUGCUUACACUCCUCUCACCGCCUGAUUUAUGAAGCUGUGCUUACCUUUAAAACCCAGGUGUACGCAAUACCUGCCCUUGAUAAAUGCCGCGGCUGAAAACGAUCGUCAUUAGAAUAACACGCCCCUAUAUAUUCAAGUCUCUGCUUCCCCCACGCCCUCAUUUUACGCCAUGGACACACGGAAGACGGCAAAAAAGAGAAACUUCUCUGACGUGGAGAUUGAGACGAACACCAGGGAGGUAGAAAGAAAUAAAAUUGUUUUAUUUGGCAGUUUAAAAAGUGGAAUAAAAGGCGCCCACAAAAACAAAAUAUGGACCCAAAUUACGAGUGCUGUUAAUAGCGUGGGGUUGAGAAGCGCACUCCAGCAGAGGUAAGAAUGUUUUAAUGCUUAAUACAAGCUAAACAUGAGUUCUUUAUUGCUUAAUAUAGACAAAUCAAGUUAAGCAUGAGUUUUUUUGUUUAUUGUAGGUGGAAAAAAAGUGGUCCGAUUCAAGGAUCGCCAUAAAGAGGAGCCAGAGUCAGACUGGGGGAGGCCCACCGGAUCCAAGUCUCCAGCUGACACUGAACGAGGAGCGGGUGGCAGCCCUCAUCUGAACGUUGUCUUUGGAAGGUAUCACCGGUGGGGGAGAUACCGACGACAUUCAUGAUGGCACUGCAGGCCCCAGCACUCUCGAGGCAUCUCCCCCUCAGCCCAUCCAGGAGCCUGAGCCUAUCCUUGCGCCAGAGCCUGAGCAGGUGCAAGCGGGGGAAGCCGAGUCCCGUCCACCAGCCUCCCGUGCGCCACGGCCAAGGGUCCUGACAGAUGAGGUCCUGGAAAGACAGAAAUUUAUAGACUACUGGUCGAAAUUAACCAUUCAUUAGUGUCAA